RNAcentral lists this ribosomal RNA (440 nucleotides) under uncultured bacterium. RNAcentral describes it as "partial 16S ribosomal RNA". It matches the Rfam family "Bacterial small subunit ribosomal RNA", at positions 338 to 795 of the family's 1533-position model. The record is from RNAcentral.
CCUACGGGCGUCAGCAGUGGGGAAUAUUGCACAAUGGGGGAAACCCUGAUGCAGCGACGCCGCGUGAAGGAAGAAGUAUUUCGGUAUGUAAACUUCUAUCAGCAGGGAAGAAAAUGACGGUACCUGACUAAGAAGCCCCGGCUAACUACGUGCCAGCCGCCGCGGUAAUACGUAGGGGGCAAGCGUUAUCCGGAUUUACUGGGUGUAAAGGGAGCGUAGGCGGUUUAGCAAGGCAGAAGUGAAAGCCCGGGGCUCAACUCCGGGACUGCUUUUGAAACUGUUGAACUAGAGUGCAGGAGAGGUAAGUGGAAUUCCUAGUGUAGCGGUGAAAUGCGUAGAUAUUAGGAGGAACACCAGUGGCGAAGGCGGCUUACUGGACUGUAAAUGACGCUGAGGCUCGAAAGCGUGGGGAGCAAACAGGAUUAGAUACCCUUGUAGUC